ACGUGGCCACACCUGCUAGGUGUCUGCUGGAAAGUGCACCAGGUGGAUGGAGGGGAAGGGCAAAGGCCUUGAGAAGUGUUGAGAUUUGAAUCCAAGCUGCUUUUCCAAGGGUUUGUCACUGAAGAAGGAGCUGAGAGAGGAUGUGCCUGAAGGUGGAAAAGCCAAUACUGUUUUGGAUAAGGUCUGUGUUCCAUGAAUACAGGAAGAAUUAAGAGUAAGGAAGAAAGAAAUGCAGAAACAUCACCUGAAUACUUGCCUACCCCCUGGAAAAGUUCAAGGCUCUUGCUCAUUUUAUGAAUUUUCCCCAAGCCACUGGUUCUCAUACAUCUUCAGACAUCUGAUCAAGGAAGCAUCAGAGGAAAAUAAAAAGUACGUGGAGGUGAAGCUCUGUCCGCUUUCCACGGCGCAAACGUGGAUUUGGGGAGCCGAGAAG
Long non-coding RNA from Bos taurus (domestic cattle), 433 nucleotides. The record is from Ensembl. NCBI's taxonomy places the organism in Eukaryota, Metazoa, Chordata, Mammalia, Artiodactyla, Bovidae.